AAACCAUGGUGUGGGCACUCUCUCUGUAGAUUCUUGAACCUUUCCCAUACCUCGAACAAACUCUCAUCUGCUUGUUGACUAAUAGAAAUGAUUUAGCUCCUCAGACG
Molecule: non-coding RNA, 107 nt
Organism: Spinacia oleracea (spinach)
Lineage: Eukaryota; Viridiplantae; Streptophyta; Magnoliopsida; Caryophyllales; Amaranthaceae
Source: Rfam